Molecule: long non-coding RNA, 340 nt
Organism: Prionailurus viverrinus (fishing cat)
Lineage: Eukaryota; Metazoa; Chordata; Mammalia; Carnivora; Felidae
Exons: 3
Source: RefSeq, a predicted model, not a curated record
AAUGUAGAAGACAGAACCUGGGAUGGUGGUGGGCAGAGAUUUCAUCAGAGGGACUAUAAGGGCAGCACUUGUUUGAGGUGAUUGUUAUCUCAUUUUAUGGAUGAAGAAACUGAGACCAAAAGAUGUUAAGUAACCUGUGCCAGCUCACACACCUGCCAGUUGGCGGUGCCAGAUUGGAAAAGAGGUCUGACUCCCAAGGCAGUGCCCCGACCAGUUCCGGUUGGGCCGUGCGACCUUUGGCAGUUGGGGACCUCGUCCCUUAACUAACCACACCUCUCACGCCGGAAUUCUCCAAGUCCCCGCCCCCGCCCGGCCGCGCCGGCCUCCCGCACCCCGGUAU